GAAAUGCGAUAAGUAAUGUGAAUUGCAGAAUUCAGUGAAUCAUCGAAUCUUUGAACGCACCUUGCGCUCCUUGGUAUUCCUUGGAGCAUGCCUGUUUGAGUAUCAUGAAAUCUUCAAAGUAAAUCUUUUGUUAACUCAAUUGGUUUCUACUUUGGUAUUGGAGGUCUUUGCAGCUUCACACCUGCUCCUCUUUGUUCAUUAGCUGGAUCUCAGUGUUAUGCUUGGUGCCACUCGGCGUGAUAAGUUAUCUAUCGCUGAGGACACUGUAAAAGGUGGCCAAGGUAAAUGCAGAUGAACCGCUUCUAAUAGUCCAUUGACUUGGACAAUACUUUUAUGAUCUGAUCUCAAAUCAGGUAGGACUACCCGCUGAACUUAAGC
This 378-nucleotide unclassified non-coding RNA is filed under the name plant metagenome. RNAcentral's name for it is "partial contains 5.8S ribosomal RNA, internal transcribed spacer 2, and large subunit ribosomal RNA". The stretch from base 1 to 105 matches the Rfam family "5.8S ribosomal RNA", at positions 50 to 154 of the family's 154-position model. The record is from RNAcentral.